GUGGGGAAUAUUGGACAAUGGGCGAAAGCCUGAUCCAGCCAUGCCGCGUGUGUGAAGAAGGUCUUCGGAUUGUAAAGCACUUUAAGUUGGGAGGAAGGGCAGUAAGUUAAUACCUUGCUGUUUUGACGUUACCGACAGAAUAAGCACCGGCUAACUUCGUGCCAGCAGCCGCGGUAAUACGAAGGGUGCAAGCGUUAAUCGGAAUUACUGGGCGUAAAGCGCGCGUAGGUGGUUGUGUAAGUUGGAGGUGAAAUCCCCGGGCUCAACCUGGGAACUGCCUCCAAAACUGCAUGACUAGAGUACGGUAGAGGGUAGUGGAAUUUCCUGUGUAGCGGUGAAAUGCGUAGAUAUAGGAAGGAACACCAGUGGCGAAGGCGACUACCUGGACUGAUACUGACACUGAGGUGCGAAAGCGUGGGGAGCAAACAGGAUUAGAAACCCGUGUAGUCC
Molecule: ribosomal RNA, 450 nt
Filed under: uncultured bacterium
Lineage: Bacteria
Description: partial 16S ribosomal RNA
Rfam family: Bacterial small subunit ribosomal RNA
Source: RNAcentral